UACGGGAGGCAGCAGUGAGGAAUAUUGGACAAUGGCCGAGAGGCUGAUCCAGCCAUGCCGCGUGCGGGAGGACGGCCCUAUGGGUUGUAAACCGCUUUUGUCAGGGGGCAAUAAGGUCUACGUGUAGACUGAUGAGAGACCGGGCGAAUAAGCAUCGGCUAAC
This 163-nucleotide ribosomal RNA is filed under the name uncultured rumen bacterium. RNAcentral describes it as "partial 16S ribosomal RNA". It matches the Rfam family "Bacterial small subunit ribosomal RNA", at positions 340 to 501 of the family's 1533-position model. The record is from RNAcentral.